UCUUUUUUUUUUUUUUUUUUUUUUUUUUCCCCAAAGAAGGUUCAGUGUGUGGUGCCACCACCCUCUGCAGAAGAGCCUGGUUUUGGUGGCAUCUCUUCCAGCAUCCUUCCAGAGGGACCUGAAGGUUGAAAGCACACCAUGACCCCAUGUCAGGGCAAAGCCCAGGUGAUGCUUUACUGAGGAUUGGGGCUGUCUUCUCCAGAACACUCUGCGAGAUUAUGGUCUGAUUAAUAAAAUACAGACACUUCAGGCAAAAUAGUCUGAGGCUAACAAAGCUGAUUGCUUCUGCAUCUUGCAGGCUGGUUAGCGCCAGCCUGAGUGAGAUCCAUCACUUUGGGGGAAUGGCAUCACACGGAAGAGGAAAGGAGGAGGAUCUGGUAAUGUUGUACCUGCGGUUUAUUUCAGAUUCUCACACUGAAGGGGGGUGAUCAGUGUUUUUAACUAGAUAUCUCAAUUUUCUAGGAUAGAGGGGUGGCCUCUGUGUCCCAGUUUCCAUGUGCAAAGUGAGGCAGCAGGUUUACCUGCCAAAACUGGCAUGAGAAUAAAACAUCAAAAUUUUAACCGUUGGAGACGAGGACCAGAGAGAAUUCUAUGGGAUUCAAAGCCACAGCAGAGUCCAUGGAUAUAGCAGUUAUGGCCAGCAUAGCUCCCUUAUCCCAGCCAAAAAUUAGUUUUUAAUUUGUGAGGCUUAAGAGCUGUCUGUAACAGGAGAUGCUACAUCUGUGCAAGGCCGUUAUGUCGGGUGAAUUUUGAGGUGGGGAAUGAGUUCAAAGAGGAAAAGUGUUAUAAGUGCAACAGUUAGUAGGAGUAAAGAACAAUCUCUCUAUUCCUGCAAAUGUUCAAGUUUUGAAUGUUUUCCUGAGGUAAGAACAGAAAGAAAUUGAGUUUUGUGUGAACUGGCAAUUUAAACCAAAGAUGAUAUUGUCUGUGUUAUUUGGGCUGUUUCCCUUCAGUCAGUUUGAAGAACAUUUUUGAAACAGUAAUCAACUUAAAUAGAAAACCAGUAUAUUGUAAGAGUUUUUCACCAUUUCAAAGCCUUUUUUACCAAGAACUUGAUGAAAAUGGCUCUCUGCAAUGACUAAUUUUGGGUUUGAUGAACAGGAGUCCUUAGACCAGAUUAAUUUUGCUGAAAAAAGGCUGUCCAGCUCUAUUCUCCACAUCCUGGCACAAGAACCACAUUAUCUCAUGUCUCCUGGCAGCUGGUGCGCUGGGUCGGGGAGAAGGGCUCAGCUUUGCACCCAGCCUGGCACUUGGGGAUUGCUCUGUAGUCCUCUGGUACAAACCAAAGUCAAACACUGUGCAAAAUGUUUUUUAUCUAUCCUGCGUAAGCAUCAGUUUGUUAUGCACAGAAAGAGAUCACUGCAUAUAUAAGAGAAGAUUUUUUUAUUUCUUUUUUUAGGUUCAUCCCAAUCAAGUCUUUGUUUUUUAAUUGUUUAUACAUGGAGAAGGUUUAUUGACCAUAUUUCUCCAUGUUUCUUAAUUGUGAGCACAGAUGAAUGUACUGAGCAUAACAUUUCCACUGCCUUAUAUGAGUUCAUAACAUUUUGCAAUAACCCUGGCAAUAUUUGUUUAGAUGAACACUUGAAGGACAUCUGUUGGUGCCGGAAACAAUGAUGUAGGUUUUUGCUUUUGUUUUUUUAAUUGCUAUUUUGUCAGAGGAAUAGGCACACUUCUGUCACUUGCAAAGAAAAUCCUGCUAAGCACCGACAAAAUCUGCUCUGAGUUACCAGUGUUCCUCCUUUCCCUCUCUAAUUGGCAGAGUUGCAAGAACGACUAAAGGUGAAAAAUAAAACAUCAGCUAAAACUUUU
Long non-coding RNA from Tyto alba (common barn owl), 1809 nucleotides. RefSeq lists it as uncharacterized. The transcript has 2 exons. The record is from RefSeq and is a predicted model, not a curated record. NCBI's taxonomy places the organism in Eukaryota, Metazoa, Chordata, Aves, Strigiformes, Tytonidae.